UAGGAUGUCGUCUAAAGGAAAGACAUCAUUUUUUGGUAAUGAGAAUGGUUGUUCGAUUCAACCCAUCCUAG
RNAcentral lists this transfer RNA (71 nucleotides) under Dendrobium devonianum. RNAcentral describes it as "tRNA-Gln". The record is from RNAcentral. Lineage: Eukaryota; Viridiplantae; Streptophyta; Magnoliopsida; Asparagales; Orchidaceae. RNAcentral also lists the same sequence under 11 other names.